This 76-nucleotide transfer RNA is filed under the name Bacillota bacterium. Its description in RNAcentral is "tRNA-Val". It matches the Rfam family "tRNA". Rfam says of the family: Transfer RNA (tRNA) molecules are approximately 80 nucleotides in length. Their secondary structure includes four short double-helical elements and three loops (D, anti-codon, and T loops). The record is from RNAcentral. Lineage: Bacteria; Bacillati; Bacillota. RNAcentral also lists the same sequence under 1 other name.
GGGCGGUUAGCUCAGUUGGCAGAGCACGUGUUUGACGUACACGGGGUCAGAGGUUCAAGUCCUCUACCGCCCACCA